Molecule: ribosomal RNA, 253 nt
Filed under: uncultured bacterium
Lineage: Bacteria
Description: partial 16S ribosomal RNA
Rfam family: Bacterial small subunit ribosomal RNA
Source: RNAcentral
UACGUAGGGAGCAAGCGUUGUCCGGAAUCAUUGGGCGUAAAGCGCGCGUAGGCGGCUCGAUCAGUCUGUUGUGAAAGUCAAAGGCUCAACCUUUGAAUGCCGAUGGAUACUGUCGAGCUAGAGUCCGGAAGAGGCGAGUGGAAUUCCUGGUGUAGCGGUGGAAUGCGCAGAUAUCAGGAGGAACACCAACGGCGAAGGCAGCUCGCUGGGACGGUACUGACGCUCAUGCACGAAAGCGUGGGGAGCAAACAGG